RNAcentral lists this ribosomal RNA (301 nucleotides) under uncultured bacterium. Its description in RNAcentral is "partial 16S ribosomal RNA". It matches the Rfam family "Bacterial small subunit ribosomal RNA", at positions 509 to 807 of the family's 1533-position model. The record is from RNAcentral.
CAGUCGCCGCGGUAAUACGUAGGGUGCAAGCGUUAAUCGGAAUUACUGGGCGUAAAGCGUGCGUAGGCGGUUUGUUAAGUCUGUUGUGAAAUCCCCGGGCUCAACCUGGGAAUGGCAGUGGAUACUGGCUCGCUAGAGUGUGUCAGAGGAUGGUGGAAUUCCCGGUGUAGCGGUGAAAUACGUAGAGAUCGGGAGGAACACCGGUGGCGAAAGCGGCUCUCUGGCUUGUAACUGACGCUGAGGCUCGAAAGCGUGGGGAGCAAACAGGAUUAGAUACCCCAGUAGUCCCUGUCUCUUAUAC